GCCUAGAUCAUCUUCUAUAUACACUACACUCUGCACACCUUUUGGCAUUCAAACAAAUUCAACUGAAAAUUACGAUGUAUAAAAACCAACUUAUAUGCUAUAAUGCUAUGCACCACGAUAAUGAAAAAUAAAGCAAAUCCGUAAAUGCUGCAAACUCGUUCACUCAGUUCCAUUAUUUGACUUUAAUGUCGCCCUUGGCCUCCGAGGAAAGGUUCUUGGAGGAAGGAGAUUUGCCAGUGAUAGCUUUCUUUGCUUUCACCAGGGACUGUUUAACCUUUGAUAUAAUGUUAUUUGAUUGCUUUUGAGCUGGCUUGGCUGGAGUUUCUUUUGGAAGGUCCUUGGAUGUUUUUAUUGCGUCACUUUCCUUGGUGACUUGAACCUCAGUUUUCUCAGGCUCCACAGUUUGUUCUUUCUCUAACUUAUUGACUCCAGGUUCAACAUAUUCCUCUUCUUUUUCUUCAAAUUUGGAUGCCAAGGUUUCUCUAACAGGUUCACUUACAGCUCUAGAGAUUUCUUCUACCUUUGUUUCACCGUUCCCUUCCUUCUUGUCAUCAACUACUGAGCUAUCAUCAUCACCUCUUACAUUCUCCACCUUCACACUCUCUGCUACUUCAGUUGUUGCUGUCUUUGCCUCAUUCUGUUCCUCAACCUUUCUGCUUUCAGCCUCUUCCUCUGUUGAAGAUCCAGUGACAGCUUUAGGUGCUUCAGGUUCCUUUUUUUCAUCGUCAUUUGCGGCAAUGGCAACCUUUUCCUCCACGUCAGCUGGAACAGAAUACUCCCUUUCUUCUUUUAAGCUAGGUUCAGCUCCCUGAUCAAGUGAGGCUGGUUCUGGACUUUUUAUGAUGCCAGCCACUUCAUUUGGUACCCCUUCAAUCACAUCAGUAAUGCUUGAUUCUUUAUUGUUGUCCUCUUCAACAAUCUUUUCCGCUACUACAGAAGGUUCCACAGUGUUUGCUUGAGCUUCUUCAUUCGAUGAAACUUGUGCUGUACUUUCAGUGAAGCUAGUUUCCCCCUCUUUAUCAGUUUUCACUACAUUUGCUUGAGGUUCUUUAUUGUCAUCCUCUUCAACAACCUUUUCUGCUACUACAUGAGAAGGUUCCACAGUAUUUGCUUGAGGAGAAGGCUCCACAAUAUUUGCUUGAGGUUCUUCAUUCGAUGAAACUUGUGUGGCAUUUUCAGUGUGGCUAGUUUCCUCCUCCUUGUCAGUUUUCUCUUCCUUGAUCGUGUCAUCUGAAGUUCCUUCACUCUUGGAGAUCUGAAGCACAACUUCAGGAGAAGGUUCCACAAGAUUUGCUAGAGGUUCCUCAUGUGAUGAGACUUGUGCUGCAUUUCCAGUGAGACCAGUUUCCUCCUCUUUGUCAGUUUUCUCUUCCUUGACCGUGUCAUCUGAAGUUCCUUCACUCUUGGAAGUCUCAAGCACAGCUUCAGUAGAAGGUUCCACAAGAUUUGAUUGAGGUUCCUCAUUUGCUGAAACCUGUGCAGCAUUUACAGUGAGGCUAGUUUCCUCCUCUUUAUCAGCUUUCUCUUCCUUGAUCAGGUCAGCUAAAGUUCUUUCAGUCUUGGCAGUCUCGAUCACAAUUUCUUUCUUAGUUUCCACGUCCUUACAAUCUUCCACAACUUCAUCAUCUACUUGUAGUUGUUCACUUGGCUUUUCCUCCACUUCAAUUAACAGAGGUUCUGGUUUUUCUAUCUUUUCAGAAAUUGUGUCUGACUCUGAGUUGCCUGUGUCUUCCACCUUCUCAGUACUGCCUUGUUGCUCCACCUUUUCAGCUUCUGCUUCGAGAACAACUGUCUUAGACUUCUCUUCUUCCUCUAGCUUUUCCGGUUCAGUUUGACUUUCAUCAACUUUAACACCCACUGGCUCUGCUUUCUCUGUUUCAAAGUUAUGUGUCUGGUUUCUCCUCUUCCCUUUGUUCCAACGGUUGCUUCUCUGGUUCUUCCUGGUUUUCAUUCACUUUAGUAACCAAAGGUUCUGCAUCCACUGUUUCCGUGGGUCCCGUUUCAAAGUUAGCGGUCUCUUCCACCACAUCUUCUGAGGGUUCUGUUGCUUUUUCCUCUACGGCAUCAGCCGCCUGUUCAGGUACUGCAAUUGUGCUUGGUUGCUCAGCCUCUUGCAAUUCUUUUUCUGCCUCUUCUAUUUUUUCUUCCACUUGUGUAGCAACAGGCUCAAGCUUGUCUUCCACUCCGGCCCCUGUUUCCAAAACUUGAGCCUCUUUCACCACCUCUCCUUGUGAUUCUGUCGGAGGAUCAGUCUCAUCUGUGUUGCUUGUUUUGUCAAUAGUUUCAGUUGAUGCUUCUGGAAUGUCUUCUGUCUUGGGUUGCGAUUGUUUCUCCUUAUCUGUUUCCACAGCUUCAUUUUCUAGUUUCUGUGGUGGUGUUUCUUCCACACUGAGUUCUGUGGAUGGUGCCACAUCUGGCUGGGAAUUGGCUGCAUCAUGAACUGGUUCAAUAUCACUGAUAGUGUGCGAGGCCGGAACCACUUCCUUCUCCUCCUUUAGUUUAUCUUCGGCUGCAAUAGUUGCUUCUGGUGGCAGUGAAUAUUCAGUGUUUUGUACUGCAAUAGCAGGCUCAACCUUGUGAUCAACUUCUUCUGUUGGAGUUGGUGUUGAACUUUGUGCAUCCUCAACCUUGUGAUGGUCCAGAGUAUCUUCAGCAGAUUGUUCUUCCUCAACUGCAGCAAGCUCUGCCGUCACCUUAUCUUCUGUCUUAUUUGAAGAGGUGUCCUCAGAUUUGUCGUCUCCGUCAGGCUUGUCAUGCUUGACUUCAUCUUCAUUGGCUAAAGAAGCGAUCAUUUGUGCAAUGCCUUCGUCUUUUUCCUUCUUCACGUAUUGCUAUAUAAUAAAGAUGAAAAGGCAUUGAUGAUUAACAAACCAUGAAUGUAAGUACAAAUAACAAAGUAUGAACAAGUAAGAAGGCGUGCCACAGAAAUCAC
RNAcentral lists this small RNA (2932 nucleotides) under Vigna angularis var. angularis. RNAcentral's name for it is "Non-protein coding transcript". Lineage: Eukaryota; Viridiplantae; Streptophyta; Magnoliopsida; Fabales; Fabaceae. The record is from RNAcentral.